AUUGAAUUCAACGAAGAAAAAGUCACUCGUAAAAACUGAACAAACAAAGCAUGGAGCGGAUUUAAAAUAUUACCUACCAACGCAUGAAUUCCUUCAACCCUACUAAAUAGUAACAGCCACAUUUCAAGUUUGAAAAUCACUAAACCAAAUUCAAUUGUCGUAUUGAAUCGUUUCGAAAAGAGCAUCAAAUCUAGUAGAAUUUUGGCUAUAUCGAGGACAAUUAAUACAAUUGGGAAACGGAAACUGAUAUUUUGGACUUUCUCCGGCAGUUCGAUCUGUUUAGCACUGUUUGGAUUCAAAGUCAUGGAUUUUAUACGUCAUUAGAUUAAUUUACCUAUUACUUGAUCGAUUACGCGUUACGCAAUCGGUGGAAUACCUUGGUACAUCUGUGGUGAACUUUAUCCUCAAAAAAUACGAGGAAUGGCCAGCGGAAUUUCUGCAACUACUGACUAUUUAAUGAUAUUCAUACUAUAUUGAUGAAAACCUAUUUCAAAAUGGAAGCGUCAUCUAACUUACCAUAUUUGUUCUUAGGUAUGGCUACUUUGUAUUAGCCAAAACGGAAAAGAAAUGCUUGCAGAAGAGAUAGAAAAAGUCGUUAAAAAUAAGAGAAAAAUCAUCUAUGAUAAAAAGUGAAGUAUUCAGUUUAUGGUAAAAUGCAAAAAUCAUUUUUAAACGACAAUAAGUGAUAUUUUUUAGACGAUAAAAACAAAUUAUGAAUAUAUUCGACACACGUGUUACCAAAGAUAUUCUACAUCGUUGAAGGAACAUUUUAAAAGGAAAUCUUCGGUAGGUAAUUAAACUCGCAAAAUGAGUUACCAAAUUGACAUAAAUUUCAAUUUUAGUCAAAAUAAAUAGGUAUGUUAUGAUUUUGAAAAAGAUUUUAAUGAUUGUUCAAGGUUUGAAUUCACUGCCUCCUGAUACCUAUUAUGUUUUCAUGCGAUUUUUAUCUGAAUAACGAAGUACAUAAUCUGCAUUUCCUUUUGUAUUUUCAAAAUUAUUCUACAAAUGAAAACACACUCGAGAAUUUUCAACGUGAAAAAUUACCACCAUGCAGCUUGUAUUUCAACUGUACGUUACAGUAUAAACUUAUCAUGAGAGGAUGCAUUCUCUCUAAAAUAAAAAUGAAAGAGAAUUAUCUGCUGUGAAAUUACGUAGUACUUUAGAUAUUGACGAUCCGUGCCUUACAUUAAUCUUCAAAUAUAAAUGUCAUACGCUCAA
This is a long non-coding RNA of Planococcus citri (citrus mealybug), 1218 nucleotides long. RefSeq lists it as uncharacterized. The record is from RefSeq and is a predicted model, not a curated record. Lineage: Eukaryota; Metazoa; Arthropoda; Insecta; Hemiptera; Pseudococcidae. The transcript is spliced from 5 exons.